Long non-coding RNA from Notolabrus celidotus (New Zealand spotty), 837 nucleotides. RefSeq lists it as uncharacterized. NCBI's taxonomy places the organism in Eukaryota, Metazoa, Chordata, Actinopteri, Labriformes, Labridae. The transcript is spliced from 3 exons. The record is from RefSeq and is a predicted model, not a curated record.
GACACGCGCAACAGAGCUUCGCAGGUGUGUACUACAGGUGCUUACCCACCUGUCACCUCAUCAUGUGUGUUUCCUUCAGUAGAAUGGUGACCGGACAUUAUCUACCAAACAAAGUUAAGGAGAAGCUUCAUCAGUGUCUUCAGGAGAAGUAUGUUUCCCAGCCUUCAGCUUUAUUCAUGCCCUGGGUUUGUGAGAGUUACCUGUAACCUCCUCGGCUAACACCUGUCACCGUGCUCCUGCGUAAUGACUGAACUGUUGAGCUGGCGCAUGACCUCAGACCGUGCGUCGCGGAGAGAGAGAUUAUGGAGACGUUUUCUUCCUGCAUCGCCACUGGACAUGUGUGGAUAUUAUCUCUUUCACUGCCAAGAUAGAGUCCGGUUUCCAUGCUGCUGAGAAGGUUUCGGACUUCUACCUUCCCCAUUGGGCCAUGCCAUAAAGAGUGUCUGGAGCUGUCUGCUGGCUGUGGAAAUGGAAAUUCCACCAUGACCCCUUGACCCCGUGCAUUAUUCAGAAGACGAAUCAUCCAUAAUACCACGUCAUUACUUCUUAAUUCACCUCUUUACUCUCCUCUCUGCUACUACAUGGAGACAUCUUUUAAUGCAUGUAUUCGCACUGAUUGCAUUAAAAGCCCACUUGUUAGUUGAGUAGAAUAAUGCAGCUCAUCAGGCUUCAAUUAUACGUUCUUAAAUGAUCUUGAAGGAUAAAGUCAAGGACUGGCUGCUCAUGAAGGCAUCAUGCUCAGUUUUAUGUUUGUGAUGUAUAAUGUUUGUUUUCUGUCAAACUUUCUGUCAGAUGCCUUGAAGUAGUGAUAAGAUUCAUUUAAACGUACCCAGUGGA